CUUCUGACUGCAAUGUUGGGCAGUGUUUCUCCUGUUUGUCAGCGCUGUUUCAUCUGGUUUUAAACUAGUUUAUCACAGAGUUAUUUGUGUUCUUUUCUGAAUCUUCAAGUUAUCAUGUGGUCGUCUGAUAGAACUACAGUCUGUAGUUAACCUACUUCAGUUAACUUCAAACGGACAAGAUCAUCGUUUACUUAUUUCAAUAAUAAUAAUAAAUAUUUGUACUAAAUGGAAAAGAAAGUGCUCUAGACAUCUUGCUACAAGUAUAAUAUAUUAUUUCAUAUAUUUGAACAAAACUGAGUAUAGUUAAAAUGUAAGUUUGCUAUAACAGGGAGGAAAAAACACUGCUAACUCUGAUUAAAAAAUAUCCCUCAAAGAAAAAAAAAAGAAAAAGAAAAUAAUAAUAAUAAUAUAUCUCACUCUGCAGUUAAAUGAUGAAUUCACUUCUUUGAAUACUGACAAAGAGGUCAGCACUAUCUUUAGUGAUAACGAAAUCCAUAGACCUUUGUAAAGCAGAAAGACAUCAUAGGCUACGCCACACACGUAUAUGCUUUACAGGACGUAUUUACAUUGGUAGAUUAAUAACUGCUUCAAAAUAAUUGUUGACUCACCAGAUAUGUUGAACUUAUCUUGUUAUUAUGUGCUUGUUACUGAUUUAUUUAUAUUUACAACACAACUGGUGAUAGUAUAGCCUAUUUCUAGUUUAAAAUGAGCCUAUUUAAUCUCGAAAUCUGCGACACUUGGUUUGUUAGCCACUGGCUAUAUCUGGCUCGCGAGAUCCACUUUCCUGCAGAGUUUAGCUCUAACCCUAAUUAAACACGCCCAAGUUUGCAAAUCAAUGUCUUCAGGAUAAAAAAAAUCACAGGUAGUUUUGUUUGAUUAGGGUUGGAGCUAAACUCUGCAGGAAAGUGCACCUCGCGAACCAGAUUUGAGGAUCACUGCUGUAGACUUUUGUUUACUGAACUUGACCCAGACUUAGUCUCCUAGGCCGUGUCUCAAAACCUAGGGAGUUGUCUGACUAGACAGCAUUUUGGCCAUUAUGUGUUUUCCCAAAAAUGCGGUAAGGUAAGCAGCUAACUACGAUUUGAGAAACAGCCCUACACUUCCGUGAACGGACGCACGUCUAUCGUAGCCCUGCAGUAACCCAAUAGAUGGCACUGUUUAUCUACAGUAGAUGAAGAUGGAUGGCCGGCCACGAGGAACGUUCUCUCCUUCUUCAUCUCCUCAUUUUCAAGUACAAGAAGCCCAAGGAGAUUUUAGCACUGGAACAGGAGCUGCUUGGGGAACUGAAGAAACUGAAAGGGACAAGUGAAGGAGAUACUGACUGUAAAACACAGUGAACUGCUGUGAACCCAGAGCCUUUUUUUGCAUAAUUGUAUUUAUCUGGCUGUUCAUUUAUGCUUAGUCUCACUUUGGUAUGUUUCUAUGACAUGUUCCUGUCUGCCUUGUGUGUCCAUGCAACUCACUUUCACUUUGUUAUUUUUAUUUUAUUUUUUAUUUUUCAAAUCUAAUGCUAAUUCAUGCUCCAACUGUACACUUGUUCUUUGAGUCUAAAUUAUACAUUUCACUGGCUAAAAUUAAUUAGGAUUAUUUUUUAUUAUUACUAUUAUUAUAUAUUAACAUUAUAGUAAGAAGUUUGCUUUAUUCCAGCUAUUUCCACACCACAGCUUAAAUAUCUAAAGACUUCAUCAUUAAAUAAUGAUAGCACAUGCAUAAGAAAUAAAUGAAAAAAACAUGUAAGAAAUAACAAGUAAUCUAUAAAACAAAAACAUGAAAAGAGAAUGCAUAAAUACAAUUCUGCAGUGCAGUCAUCAGUAGCAUGCAACACAGUACUCGUUCAGCAAAUGUACAGCUAAAGAGAUGUUUAAUUGAAGCAGAUUCAUAAAUUGACAACUUUUAUAACAUAUAACAGUUGUACAGUUGAAUUAUUAUUAGAGAUUCAUCAUCAAAUUUCUAUUAGCAUGAAAGUCACUGAACUUGCGCCAUGAUAUGCUGUCAAUACUGCCAUCCUGAAUAAUC
Long non-coding RNA from Carassius auratus (goldfish), 2016 nucleotides. RefSeq lists it as uncharacterized. The transcript has 3 exons. Lineage: Eukaryota; Metazoa; Chordata; Actinopteri; Cypriniformes; Cyprinidae. The record is from RefSeq and is a predicted model, not a curated record.